Taeniopygia guttata (zebra finch) is the source of this 2489-nucleotide long non-coding RNA. NCBI's taxonomy places the organism in Eukaryota, Metazoa, Chordata, Aves, Passeriformes, Estrildidae. The record is from Ensembl.
CCGGGGGAUCCCCAAGGCUGCUGGGGAAUUUUUGGGGGCCACAAGGAGAAGUUUGGGGAGGUGGAGGGCAGGACCGAGGUGGGGGCUCCGUGUUUUUUGGGGGGUUCUGGGAAUUGGGGGGGGGUCCCCAAGCCUGAGGGAAUUUGGGGGGGUCCCCAAGGUCUGAGGGAAUGGGGGGGUCCCGGGGGUCCCGUGGCCCCCCCUGAGCGCAGCGAUGCCCCCCCAGUGAAGGACAAGAGGACACGCAGGUGGACUCGGAGGGCGCGGCCCAUGAAGGACGAGACCUUCGGGGAGUACCGGUCCCUGGAGAGCGACGGCGAGGAGAAGGCGUCGGGCAGCUCCGGGCGCUCUCUGGGCGCGGCGGGCGCGGCGCUGGGCAGCGACGACAGCCUGCCGGAUACGGCGCAGCGCCGACGUGCAGUUCAACGAGGACGGCUCCUUCAUCGGCCAGUACAGCGGCGCCCGCGGCGCCACCGCCGGCAGCUCCGGCCCCGCCAGCCCCUCGGCCGCCGCCCCGCUCGACUGACCCCACCCGUGGGUGCCCCUGGGGGUGUCCCCGCGGCCGUGGGGACGCGGUGGGGGCAGCUCAGUGUCACCCUGGGACCCCCCCCGUGGCAGUGGGGACCCCCCCCCAUGUCACAAUGGGACCCCCAAGUGUCACCGUGGGACCCUCCCGUGGCAGUGGGGACCCCCCCGUGGCAGUGGGGACCCCCCCGUGACGUAGCGGGACCCCCAUGGCCCGGGGGACCCCCCCAGUGUCACAGUGGGACCCCCCCCCAUAGCCCUGGGGACCCUCCCCAUGUCACAAUGGGACCCCCCAAGUGUCACAGAGGGACCCCCCAAUGUCACAGUGGGACCCCCACAGCUCUGAGGACCCCCCAUGACCCUGGGGACCCCCCCAAGUGUCACAGUGGGACCCCCCCCAUGUCACAAUGGGACCCCCAAGUGUCACAGUGGGACCCUCACAGCUCUGAGGACCCCCCAUGGCCCUGGGACCCCCCCCCCAUGUCACAGUGGGGCCCCCCCAUGGCCCUGGGGACCCCCCAAUGUCACAAUGGGGACCCCCAGUGUCACAAUGGGACCCCCCCAGUGUCACAGUGGGACACCGCCAGUGUCACAGUGGGACCCCCCAAUGUCACAGUGGGACCCCCACAGCUCUGAGGACCCCCCAUGACCCCCAUGACCCUGGGGACCCCCCCAAUGUCACAGUGGGACCCCCCCCAUGGCCCUGGGGACCCCCCCAAUGUCACAAUGGGACCCCCCCAAUGUCACAGUGGGACCCCCCCCAUGGCCUUGGGCACCCCCCAUGUCACAGUGGGACCCCCCCAUGACCCUGGGGACCCCCCCAAUGUCAAAUGGGGACCCCAGACCCCCCCCGGACCCCCCCCCUCCAUUUAAGGGCCCCCCCCACCCCCUUCACUGCCAAAGGGGGGAGUCCCUUAAGUGCCCCUCCCCCCCGAUUUGGGGGGGUUGUUUGAGGUGGGGGAGGGGCACAAGACCCCCCCCCGCCCAACCCCCCCAAAAACACCUCACAGUGGGGGGGGGAGGGGCGGGGACCCCCCCUUUGGACUCAGCCAAAAAAUCCCCCUCCCCCCUUCGCGCUGGAUUUUGGGGGGGGGGUCUGGACAUGGGGGGGCUGGGGGGGGGCUCUGCAGACCAAAAUUAGGGGGGGCAAGGGGGGGAUUUUGCCCCCCCCCCAGAUUUUAGACACACCCCCCCCCCACUCCCACCCUCCUUCACUCCUCCCUCCCCCCAAAAAAAUCUCUGGGGGGUUUUUUUGGGGUGAGGGUCUCAACCCCCCCCCCCAAAAUUUCUGAAUGCAUCUCACGGCGCGGCCUUGGCGACCUCACACGAGCCGGCGGGGGGGGGGCCGCACCCCGACCCCCCCCCGCCCCCCAAAACCCCCCCGGGCCCCCCCCGCACCCCAAACCCCCCCCGGGCCCCCCCCGCACCCCAAACCCCCCCUCACCUUCCCCGUGGGGGGCUCUGCACCCCAAAACCCCCCCAAAACCCUCCGGGGGGGGGGGGUCUGAACCCCAAAUCCCCCCCCAUCCCCAAAUCCCCCCCCACGGGGGGGUCUGCACCCCCCCACCCCCUCCGCGGGGGGGUCCCCACCCCAAAAAUCCCCUCCCCACGCGGGGGUCCCCACCCCAACCCCCCCCCCCCGCGCUGUGUCGUAGCUUUGUAGCCCCCCCCCCCAUGUGUGCGGUGCCCCCCCCCCCAAAAUCCCCUUUUUUGGGAAAAGAAGCGGAAAACAAAACAAAAAUCGGUCCAAAAUCGGUCCAAAGGGCCCCAAAAACGGCAGCCGAGCCCUCGCCCCUCCCCCACCUCGUGUGACCCCGACCCCCCCCCCACGUGUGACCCCCCCCGAGCGAAAACAAAAAAAACCCGCAAAAAUAAAAAAAUCCCCCCAAAAAUAUAAAAAAAAUUUAAAAAAAAGGUGGGGGGGGGGGAAAAGCCCCAAAAAUAAAGAAAAAACUGCCGGAAAA